AGUCAGACUGCCUCAGACACAACACCCAGAAAUCUUCUAAAGCAGCUGUUGAUGUGUCGGCACGAGGCAACUCACGGAGGCAUACCAAGUACCUAUGACAAGUAAGACCGGAGGAGAGGACCAGACAGCAGGAGACACACUGUGUAGCUCAGACUAGACUCAACGUUGGCAUCCUUCUUUGUCAUUCAUUAUUCCAGUUCAAAGGAUGAGAUGGGAAACCAUGAAAGACCCACACAGCUAUGUUGUGGAUUCUUAGGAACUCCCUGUACUGGAGGAGGCGGCGAAAGGGCAGCUCAAAAGGAAAACAAGAGCAGCUUGGUAACCCCUGAGAAGCCUCUGUGCAUGUGGUCUUGUGUACACAAACAGACAUGAAGCCUGAGAGCAAAGCUGAAAAAUACAAUCACUGUGGUUUCUGGA
This 417-nucleotide long non-coding RNA is filed under the name Mus musculus (house mouse). Its description in RNAcentral is "predicted gene 16226, transcript variant 2 (Gm16226)". Lineage: Eukaryota; Metazoa; Chordata; Mammalia; Rodentia; Muridae. The record is from RNAcentral.